Molecule: unclassified non-coding RNA, 373 nt
Filed under: uncultured Prevotellaceae bacterium
Lineage: Bacteria; Pseudomonadati; Bacteroidota; Bacteroidia; Bacteroidales; Prevotellaceae
Description: contains 16S-23S intergenic spacer region
Source: RNAcentral
UCGCACCUUGCGGCGGCAGUGUCUCCAGAGUGCCCAGCAUCACCUGAUGGCAACUGAAGAGAGGGGUUGCGCUCGUUAUGGCACUUAAGCCGACACCUCACGGCACGAGCUGACGACAACCAUGCAGCACCUCCGCAGCAGCCCCGAAGGGAAGGGGUGUCUCCACCCCAUGCAGCUGCAGUUCAAGCCCGGGUAAGGUUCCUCGCGUAUCAUCGAAUUAAACCACAUGUUCCUCCGCUUGUGCGGGCCCCCGUCAAUUCCUUUGAGUUUCACCGUUGCCGGCGUACUCCCCAGGUGGGAUGCUUAACGCUUUCGCUUGGCCGCGCACCACAAGGGCGCACAGCGGGCAUCCAUCGUUUACCGCGCGGACUAC